Molecule: ribosomal RNA, 334 nt
Filed under: uncultured eukaryote
Lineage: Eukaryota
Description: partial 18S ribosomal RNA
Rfam family: Eukaryotic small subunit ribosomal RNA
Source: RNAcentral
CCCUUAGAUGUUCUGGGCUGCACACGCGCUACACUGAAGGGAUCAGCGUGUUCUUUUCCUGGUCCGAAAGGAUCGGGUAACCCGCUGAACCCCCUUCGUGGUAGGGAUCGGAGCUUGCAAUUAUUCUCCGUGAACCAGGAAUUCCCAGUAAGCGCAAGUCAUAAGCUUGCGUUGAUUACGUCCCUGCCCUUUGUACACACCGCCCGUCGCUACUACCGAUUGAACGGUUUAGUGAGGGCAUCGGACUGGUCUCGGCCCGCCCUUCACCGGUGCGGCGCCGCCGGCCGGGAAGACGCUCGAACUUGAUCGUUUAGAGGAAGUAAAAGUCGUAACA